GAUGAACGCUAGCGACAGGCUUAACACAUGCAAGUCGAGUGGCAGCGGGGGUAGCAAUACCCGCCGGCGACCGGCGCACGGGUGAGUAACGCGUAUGCAACUUACCUAUCAGAGGGGGAUAACCCGGCGAAAGUCGGACUAAUACCGCAUGAAGCAGGGGCCCCGCAUGGGGAUAUUUGCUAAAGAUUCAUCGCUGAUAGAUAGGCAUGCGUUCCAUUAGGCAGUUGGCGGGGUAACGGCCCACCAAACCGACGAUGGAUAGGGGUUCUGAGAGGAAGGUCCCCCACAUUGGUACUGAGACACGGACCAAACUCCUACGGGAGGCAGCAGUGAGGAAUAUUGGUCAAUGGCCGAGAGGCUGAACCAGCCAAGUCGCGUGAGGGAUGAAGGUUCUAUGGAUCGUAAACCUCUUUUAUAAGGGAAUAAAGUGCGGGACGUGUCCCGUUUUGUAUGUACCUUAUGAAUAAGGAUCGGCUAACUCCGUGCCAGCAGCCGCGGUAAUACGGAGGAUCCGAGCGUUAUCCGGAUUUAUUGGGUUUAAAGGGUGCGUAGGCGGCCUUUUAAGUCAGCGGUGAAAGUCUGUGGCUCAACCAUAGAAUUGCCGUUGAAACUGGGGGGCUUGAGUAUGUUUGAGGCAGGCGGAAUGCGUGGUGUAGCGGUGAAAUGCAUAGAUAUCACGCAGAACCCCGAUUGCGAAGGCAGCCUGCCAAGCCAUUACUGACGCUGAUGCACGAAAGCGUGGGGAUCAAACAGGAUUAGAAUACCCCUGGUAGUCCACGCAGUAAACGAUGAUCACUAGCUGUUUGCGAUACACUGUAAGCGGCACAGCGAAAGCGUUAAGUGAUCCACCUGGGGAGUACGCCGGCAACGGUGAAACUCAAAGGAAUUGACGGGGGCCCGCACAAGCGGAGGAACAUGUGGUUUAAUUCGAUGAUACGCGAGGAACCUUACCCGGGCUUGAACGCAUUCGGACCGAGGUGGAAACACCUUUUCUAGCAAUAGCCGUUUGCGAGGUGCUGCAUGGUUGUCGUCAGCUCGUGCCGUGAGGUGUCGGCUUAAGUGCCAUAACGAGCGCAACCCUUGCCACUAGUUACUAACAGGUAAAGCUGAGGACUCUGGUGUGACUGUCAGCGUAAGCUGCGAGGAAGGCGGGGAUGACGUCAAAUCAGCACGGCCCUUACAUCCGGGGCGACACACGUGUUACAAUGGCGUGGACAAAGGGAGGCCACCUGGCGACAGGGAGCGAAUCCCCAAACCACGUCUCAGUUCGGAUCGGAGUCUGCAACCCGACUCCGUGAAGCUGGAUUCGCUAGUAAUCGCGAAUCAGCCAUGGCGCGGUGAAUACGUUCCCGGGCCUUGUACACACCGCCCGUCAAGCCAUGGGAGCCGGGGGUCCCAAAAGUCCGUAACCGAAAGGAUCGGCCUAGGGUAAAACCG
RNAcentral lists this ribosomal RNA (1437 nucleotides) under uncultured organism. Its description in RNAcentral is "SSU rRNA". It matches the Rfam family "Bacterial small subunit ribosomal RNA". The record is from RNAcentral.